GUCGGGGUGGCUCAGCUUGGUUAGAGCGCCUGACUCAUAAUCAGGAGGUCGCGGGCUCAAAUCCCGCCCCCGACA
This 75-nucleotide transfer RNA is filed under the name Thermoplasmata archaeon. RNAcentral's name for it is "tRNA-Met". It matches the Rfam family "tRNA". Rfam says of the family: Transfer RNA (tRNA) molecules are approximately 80 nucleotides in length. Their secondary structure includes four short double-helical elements and three loops (D, anti-codon, and T loops). Further hydrogen bonds mediate the characteristic L-shaped molecular structure. tRNAs have two regions of fundamental functional importance: the anti-codon, which is responsible for specific mRNA codon recognition, and the 3' end, to which the tRNAs corresponding amino acid is attached (by aminoacyl-tRNA synthetases). tRNAs cope with the degeneracy of the genetic code in two manners: having more than one tRNA (with a specific anti-codon) for a particular amino acid; and 'wobble' base-pairing, i.e. permitting non-standard base-pairing at the 3rd anti-codon position. The record is from RNAcentral. RNAcentral also lists the same sequence under 1 other name. Lineage: Archaea; Methanobacteriati; Thermoplasmatota; Thermoplasmata.